UAAUACGAAGGGGGCUAGCGUUGCUCGGAAUCACUGGGCGUAAAGCGCACGUAGGCGGACUCUUAAGUCGGUGGUGAAAUCCUGGAGCUCAACUCCAGAACUGCCUUCGAUACUGAGAGUCUCGAGUCCGGGAGAGGUGAGUGGAACUGCGAGUGUAGAGGUGAAAUUCGUAGAUAUUCGCAAGAACACCAGUGGCGAAGGCG
RNAcentral lists this ribosomal RNA (203 nucleotides) under uncultured bacterium. RNAcentral's name for it is "partial 16S ribosomal RNA". It matches the Rfam family "Bacterial small subunit ribosomal RNA", at positions 521 to 723 of the family's 1533-position model. The record is from RNAcentral.